This 298-nucleotide unclassified non-coding RNA is filed under the name uncultured fungus. RNAcentral's name for it is "sequence contains ITS1". The stretch from base 1 to 105 matches the Rfam family "5.8S ribosomal RNA", at positions 50 to 154 of the family's 154-position model. The record is from RNAcentral. Lineage: Eukaryota; Fungi.
GAAAUGCGAUAAGUAGUGUGAAUUGCAGAAUUCAGUGAAUCAUCGAAUCUUUGAACGCACAUUGCGCCCCUUGGUAUUCCAUGGGGCAUGCCUGUUCGAGCGUCAUUUGUACUCUCAAGCCUUGCUUGGUGUUGGGUGUUUGUCUUUGCUAUGCCUAGACUCGCCUUAAAUGUAUUGGCAGCCGAUAUAUUGGUUUGAAGCGCAGCACAAUUUGCGCGUCAGGCUUAUUCUAUCAGCAACCAUCAAGAUUCAUAACACGCUUGACCUCGGAUCAGGUAGGGAUACCCGCUGAACUUAA